Molecule: transfer RNA, 74 nt
Filed under: Promethearchaeota archaeon
Lineage: Archaea; Promethearchaeati; Promethearchaeota
Description: Candidatus Lokiarchaeota archaeon tRNA-Phe
Rfam family: tRNA
About the family: Transfer RNA (tRNA) molecules are approximately 80 nucleotides in length. Their secondary structure includes four short double-helical elements and three loops (D, anti-codon, and T loops).
Source: RNAcentral
GGGAGGGUGGUCUAGCCUGGUAUGAUGCGAGUAAGAAAACCAAGGGGCCGGGGGUUCGAAUCCCCCCUCUCCCA